AUACGUAGGGAGCGAGCGUUGUCCGGAAUUACUGGGUGUAAAGGGAGCGUAGGCGGAAGUGCAAGUCAGAUGUGAAAUGCAUGGGCUUAACCCAUGAGCUGCAUUUGAAACUGCAUUUCUUGAGUGAAGUAGAGGUAAGCGGAAUUCCUGGUGUAGCGGUGAAAUGCGUAGAUAUCAGGAGGAACACCGGUGGCGAAGGCGGCUUACUGGGCUUUUACUGACGCUGAGGCUCGAAAGCGUGGGGAGCAAACAGGAUUAGAUACCCUGGUAGUCCACGCUGUAAACGAUGAUUACUAGGUGUGGGGGGACUGACCCCUUCCGUGCCGCAGUUAACACAAUAAGUAAUCCACCUGGGGAGUACGGCCGCAAGGUUGAAACUCAAAUGAAUUGACGGGG
RNAcentral lists this ribosomal RNA (396 nucleotides) under uncultured bacterium. RNAcentral's name for it is "partial 16S ribosomal RNA". It matches the Rfam family "Bacterial small subunit ribosomal RNA", at positions 523 to 918 of the family's 1533-position model. The record is from RNAcentral.